Molecule: ribosomal RNA, 440 nt
Filed under: uncultured bacterium
Lineage: Bacteria
Description: partial 16S ribosomal RNA
Rfam family: Bacterial small subunit ribosomal RNA
Source: RNAcentral
CCUACGGGUGGCAGCAGUGGGGAAUAUUGCACAAUGGACGAAAGUCUGAUCCAGCAACGCCGCGUGAGUGAGGAAGUAUUUCGGUAUGGAAAGCUCUAUCAGCAGGGAAAAGAAAAGAAGGUAGCUGAAAAGAAGCCCCGGCUAACUACGUGCCAGCAGCCGCGGUAAUACGUAGGGGGCAAGGUUUAUACGGAUUUACUGGGUGUAAAGGGAGCGUAGACGGAAAGGCAAGUCAGAAGUGAAAACCUAAGGCUCAACCAUGGGAUUGCUUUUGAAACUGUCAAACUAGAGUACGGGAGAGGUAAGAGGAAUUCCUAGUGUAGCGGUGAAAUGCGUAGAUAUCAGGAGGAACACCAGUGGCGAAGGCGUCUUACUGGACCGCAACUGACGUUGAGGCUCGAAAGUGUGGGUAGCAAACAGGAUUAGAUACCCUAGUAGUC